RNAcentral lists this ribosomal RNA (443 nucleotides) under uncultured bacterium. Its description in RNAcentral is "bacterial SSU rRNA". It matches the Rfam family "Bacterial small subunit ribosomal RNA", at positions 958 to 1397 of the family's 1533-position model. The record is from RNAcentral.
AACGCGAAGAACCUUACCAGCCUUUGACAUGGGACGUUUGAGAACCAGAGAUGAUUUUCUUCAGUUCGGCUGGCGUCCACACAGGUGCUGCAUGGCUGUCGUCAGCUCGUGUCGUGAGAUGUUGGGUUAAGUCCCGCAACGAGCGCAACCCUUGCCGUUAGUUGCCAUCAGGUUGGGCUGGGCACUUUAACGGAACUGCCGGUGAUAAGCCGGAGGAAGGUAGGGACGAGGUCAAGUCCUCAUGGCCCUUAUAGGCUGGGCUACACACGUACUACAAUGGCGGUGACAGAAGGGAGCGAAGGAGCAAUCUGGAGCAAAUCCUUAAAAGCCGUCUCAGUUCGGAUUGUUCUCUGCAACUCGAGAGCAUGAAGUCGGAAUCGCUAGUAAUCGUAGAUCAGCAUGCUACGGUGAAUACGUUCCCGGGCCUUGUACACACCGCACGA